This 282-nucleotide unclassified non-coding RNA is filed under the name Cladosporium sp. Its description in RNAcentral is "partial contains 5.8S ribosomal RNA, internal transcribed spacer 2, and large subunit ribosomal RNA". The stretch from base 1 to 71 matches the Rfam family "5.8S ribosomal RNA", at positions 84 to 154 of the family's 154-position model. The record is from RNAcentral. Lineage: Eukaryota; Fungi; Ascomycota; Dothideomycetes; Cladosporiales; Cladosporiaceae.
GUGAGUCAUCGAAUCUUUGAACGCACAUUGCGCCCCCUGGUAUUCCGGGGGGCAUGCCUGUUCGAGCGUCAUUUCACCACUCAAGCCUCGCUUGGUAUUGGGCAACGCGGUCCGCCGCGUGCCUCAAAUCGACCGGCUGGGUCUUCUGUCCCCUAAGCGUUGUGGAAACUAUUCGCUAAAGGGUGCUCGGGAGGCUACGCCGUAAAACAAACCCAUUUCUAAGGUUGACCUCGGAUCAGGUAGGGAUACCCGCUGAACUUAAGCAUAUCAAUAAGCGGAGGA